UACGAAGGGGGCUAGCGUUGCUCGGAAUUACUGGGCGUAAAGCGCACGUAGGCGGCUUACUAAGUCAGGGGUGAAAUCCUGGAGCUCAACUCCAGAACUGCCUUUGAUACUGAGGGUCUUCGAGUCCGGGAGAGGUGAGUGGAACUGCGAGUGUAGAGGUGAAAUUCGUAGAUAUUCGCAAGAACACCAGUGGCGAAGGCGGCUCACUGGCCCGGUACUGACGCUGAGGUGCGAAAGCCAGGGGAGCAAACGGG
This 254-nucleotide ribosomal RNA is filed under the name uncultured bacterium. RNAcentral's name for it is "partial 16S ribosomal RNA". It matches the Rfam family "Bacterial small subunit ribosomal RNA", at positions 524 to 776 of the family's 1533-position model. The record is from RNAcentral.